RNAcentral lists this long non-coding RNA (1063 nucleotides) under Fukomys damarensis (Damara mole-rat). Its description in RNAcentral is "lncRNA (ENSFDAG00000023647.1)". The record is from RNAcentral. Lineage: Eukaryota; Metazoa; Chordata; Mammalia; Rodentia; Bathyergidae.
CAUACCCAUUCAGCCGUGAGGUGGAUUAAUGAAGCCGCAGAUGAAGACUGUACACAAGAGCAAAAGGGUUUUUUUUGUUUUUUUGUUUUUUUCUUUCCCAGGACUAAGGCAACAAAAGAAUCAUGCUGUUCAGUGGAAACAGAGCCACCGGCAGCUUUUGGACAUGUGUUCUCUGCCGCUGGUUUACAUUCAUCCCUCACCCUGCAGGGCCUAUUGCUAAGGAUCCAUCCAGCUCUGAAGUCACUCAGAGAAACUUUCAUACCAUAUUUUAUAAGUUACUGUUCAAACUGCGCUGAGCCAGAAGAGAAUGUGAUGUCUGACUGGAAAAGCUGUCCAGCGGUGGCACUCUGUCUCCAAAGUCUGUACCUGCCCCGAGGACACCAGGACUCCAUUUCUAGGAAGACUGUCUCAGAAGACAGAGCUUGACCAUUGCAUCUCACCUGAGGCACGCGUGCUUUUGAGAAUACUUUUGCCCUUACAGAGCCCCAUCAAAUCUGUGAGGCAAGAGAAAAUUUUCCUUUAUGCUUCUUGGAGCUCAUCACUGGGCCAGGAAAGCUGGGAGGAAUGGCUAAGCAAUUGACAGCACUUUGAAGUAUGUUCAGUCACAGUUGAACGCUUCAUGAAACCUGAUUUUUGAUGUCUGUUUGGCAUCAUAGGACUGUUGACCACUGACCUUCAGACAUGGCCUAGAAUCUGGCACCCUAUAUUUUUAGAGUUGAACAGGAAUAUUACAUACAAAAGCCAUUCAGAUGUGUAAUAUCAAAUAAUACAGUUAGAAUAAUUAUUUUGUUUUUGUUGGUAAUACGCUUCAACCAUCUUACAGGGAUUUGGUGAGAUUGUUGUUGUAUUUCUAAAAUAUCUAAGAGAAAAGCUGAAAAAUGAGUGCAAAAUAAUGAUGCACAAUUUAGUUAACUCCUCCAGCCACACGAUGAUACAGACAUUGGCAAGUCAGGGGGCAGUGGGACCUCCACAUGUAGAUGUGCUACAGGAAACAAGAAGUCAAGGGCUGUCCUGGAUGUCAGAAUUAACUCUGUCUACCUUAAUAAAAAUCAGAAGCAGCCAU